This 116-nucleotide ribosomal RNA is filed under the name Bacillus halotolerans. The record is from RNAcentral. Lineage: Bacteria; Bacillati; Bacillota; Bacilli; Caryophanales; Bacillaceae.
UUUGGUGGCGAUAGCGAAGAGGUCACACCCGUUCCCAUGCCGAACACGGAAGUUAAGGCUCUUCAGCGCCGAUGGUAGUCGGGGUUUCCCCCUGUGAGAGUAGGACGCCGCCAAGC